AUACGGAGGGUGCAAGCGUUAAUCGGAAUUACUGGGCGUAAAGCGUACGUAGGCGGUUCGUUAAGUUAGAUGUGAAAGCCCCGGGCUUAACCUGGGAACUGCAUUUAAAACUGGCGGACUAGGGUUGAGUAGAGGGGAGUGGAAUUUCAGGUGUAGCGGUGAAAUGCGUAGAGAUCUGAAGGAACACCAGUGGCGAAGGCGACUCCCUGGACUCGAACUGACGCUGAGGUACGAAAGCGUGGGUAGCAAACGGGAUUAGAAACCCUUGUAGUCC
This 274-nucleotide ribosomal RNA is filed under the name uncultured bacterium. RNAcentral's name for it is "partial 16S ribosomal RNA". It matches the Rfam family "Bacterial small subunit ribosomal RNA", at positions 523 to 796 of the family's 1533-position model. The record is from RNAcentral.